This 253-nucleotide ribosomal RNA is filed under the name uncultured bacterium. RNAcentral's name for it is "partial 16S ribosomal RNA". It matches the Rfam family "Bacterial small subunit ribosomal RNA", at positions 524 to 776 of the family's 1533-position model. The record is from RNAcentral.
UACGGAGGGUCCAAGCGUUAUCCGAAAUCAUUGGGUUUAAAGGGUCCGUAGGCGGUUUUGUAAGUCAGUGGUGAAAGCCCAUCGCUCAACGGUGGAACGGCCAUUGAUACUGCAAGACUUGAAUUAUUAGGAAGUAACUAGAAUAUGUAGUGUAGCGGUGAAAUGCUUAGAGAUUACAUGGAAUACCAAUUGCGAAGGCAGGUUACUACUAAUAUAUUGACGCUGAUGGACGAAAGCGUGGGGAGCGAACAGG